UGAGAACCAUUUUGUAUGGGCGCCCCCACGGAUCCUCCUGUAGGGAGUCGAGGAACUCCGUCCACGCCUUGCCCUUUGCCACCCUGAUGGCCCGCCUGAGGCCCUUAGAUUAGACUAACUGUCAAACGUAUGAAAUCUUUUCAAGUCACACUCAAAAUGCUAUUAAUCUAAAAUUAAAAUUAUAAUUAACUAUUUACUAUUUUUACUAUUUACUAUUUACUGUUUUUAGUAAAAAUAGUACUUAAUACAAUGGAUGUCUCAUCAGAAACUGAUAGUGGUGAGAUUAAGCUAUAUCCAGAAGUACAACCAAAGUUAAACGAUAUAAUGCAGGACUGUAUAAAAAUUACGACACUUAUAGAGAUAAGCUAUGUUUUCGAACCAUAUCAAAGUGGGAUACUUUAGGUCAGAAACAACAUAUAACAUCAG
Vollenhovia emeryi is the source of this 426-nucleotide long non-coding RNA. RefSeq lists it as uncharacterized. The record is from RefSeq and is a predicted model, not a curated record. The transcript has 2 exons. Lineage: Eukaryota; Metazoa; Arthropoda; Insecta; Hymenoptera; Formicidae.